GGGGUUGUAGCUCAGUGGUAGAGUGCUUGCCUCUCAAGUGUGAGGCACUGGGUUUGAUCCUCAGCACCA
This 69-nucleotide transfer RNA is filed under the name Ictidomys tridecemlineatus (thirteen-lined ground squirrel). Its description in RNAcentral is "Spermophilus tridecemlineatus (thirteen-lined ground squirrel) tRNA". It matches the Rfam family "tRNA". Rfam says of the family: Transfer RNA (tRNA) molecules are approximately 80 nucleotides in length. Their secondary structure includes four short double-helical elements and three loops (D, anti-codon, and T loops). The record is from Rfam by way of RNAcentral. Lineage: Eukaryota; Metazoa; Chordata; Mammalia; Rodentia; Sciuridae.